GAUGAACGCUAGCGGCAGGCCUAACACAUGCAAGUCGAGGGGUAGCAGGAUUAAGCUUGCUUAAUUGCUGACGACCGGCGCACGGGUGCGUAACGCGUGUGCAACCUACCUUAUACUGGGGUAUAGCCCGGAGAAAUUCGGAUUAAUCCCCCAUAGUACUAAUGAAUCGCAUGGUUUAUUAGUUAAAGCAUUGCGGUAUAAGAUGGGCAUGCGUCCUAUUAGCUAGAUGGUGAGGUAACGGCUCACCAUGGCCACGAUAGGUAGGGGGGCUGAGAGGGUGGUCCCCCACACUGGUACUGAGACACGGACCAGACUCCUACGGGAGGCAGCAGUGAGGAAUAUUGGUCAAUGGGCGCAAGCCUGAACCAGCCAUGCCGCGUGCAGGAAGAAUGCCCUAUGGGUUGUAAACUGCUUUUAUUUGGGAAUAAACCUCUUUACGUGUAGAGAGCUGAAGGUACCAAAUGAAUAAGCACCGGCUAACUCCGUGCCAGCCGCCGCCGUAA
Molecule: ribosomal RNA, 503 nt
Filed under: uncultured bacterium
Lineage: Bacteria
Description: partial 16S ribosomal RNA
Rfam family: Bacterial small subunit ribosomal RNA
Source: RNAcentral